CCUACGGGGGGCUGCAGUGGGGAAUAUUGGACAAUGGGGGCAACCCUGAUCCAGCCAUGCCGCGUGUGUGAAGAAGGCCCUCGGGUUGUAAAGCACUUUCAGUGAGGAAGAACGCCUGGUGGUUAAUACCCAUCAGGAAAGACAUCACUCACAGAAGAAGCACCGGCUAACUCCGUGCCAGCAGCCGCGGUAAUACGGAGGGUGCGAGCGUUAAUCGGAAUUACUGGGCGUAAAGCGCGCGUAGGUGGCUUGAUAAGCCGGUUGUGAAAGCCCCGGGCUCAACCUGGGAACGGCAUCCGGAACUGUCAAGCUAGAGUGCAGGAGAGGAGGGUAGAAUUCCCUGUGUAGCGGUGCAAUGCGUAGAGAUCGGGAGGAAUACCAGUGGCGAAGGCGGCCUUCUGGACUGACACUGACGCUGAGGUGCGAAAGCGUGGGUAGCAACCAGGAUUAGAUACCCUGGUAGUC
This 465-nucleotide ribosomal RNA is filed under the name Vreelandella stevensii. Its description in RNAcentral is "partial 16S ribosomal RNA". It matches the Rfam family "Bacterial small subunit ribosomal RNA", at positions 338 to 795 of the family's 1533-position model. The record is from RNAcentral. Lineage: Bacteria; Pseudomonadati; Pseudomonadota; Gammaproteobacteria; Oceanospirillales; Halomonadaceae.